GCCCGCUCCGAAGGCAUGCGGCGGAGAGCUGUGUUUUGGAUUGAUUUUGGGAAGUGUAGAUACUCAGCCGGUUUCUCCUCUGUUGUACUAUUAGCGGUAGCGGAUUAGGGGGUGUUCUAGGGGGUAGUAGUAUGUAGCUAGGUAGGCGGGCAGAGGAACUGAUAUGGGCUGGGAGCUGAUGAGCAUAUGGUUUUUGUAUCGGCUGGAAUGAGAAAUCCUUAUUUGUUUCUUGGCACUGAUGUCACUCUGCUUGCUUAUUGCGCACUUCUGUAUCCGCUCAAGUGCUGAUGUUGCUGAAGUUCUGACGUUGUUCUUCAUGAUGCCAUCACGACGUCGAUUGUUGAGCUACGAUUAAUUUUCACUGCAAAGAAUCCAAGGUCAAUAAUGGCGGCCACUGUAAGCUGAAUGCGGCCGCUGACCCUGUGCGGCCGGCUCCUCACGGAGGGAACCGUCGCUGUAUGCACUGCAUGCCAGUGAUUUCUUGCUUGGCUUCCAUGCGAGGCAUCAGACGGUGUGACCACGAAUCAAGCUGUAGCUUCAAGGUUUGAAAUGCCUCCUGUCCAGCCUGCAAUCAGAAACCACAGUGCAGUGACUCGAUCCCACAGUGCCUCCACUGUUCGUACUUUGUUCGUUUGCUUCAGUGUUUUGGCCUUAUGGGCCAUCUGAUUAGUACUAGCAUUAGGAGUUACACUAACGCUUGCAAAGUGUGGUUGACUGUCGGCACUGUGCCGCUGUUUUGUUUUGUUUUGCCAAGGAGAGUUAAUACGGGCGACAUGAAGCAGUGCGCGGUCUUGAAGACGCAGUUAAUGUGGGUGCGGGUGUGGGAGAUCCGGCAGCAUGAUGUGGCUUUCUUCGCCUCGCAUGCCCGCCUGCCUGCCUCCUGGUGAAGCGUAUUGCAAUGCGAGGUGUGUGGCCGUGCGUGUGACCGGUGUCAAGGCUUCAUUCAGGCUGGCCAUAAUGGGGUAACAUAACCUUAACAUAAUAAAUGUUAUACUACUAUGUGUCAUGCAUGACAAUAAAUAAGAUCAUCUAUGAUACAAUUUUAUAAUACUAUGCACUAUGGAUGUACUCCCUCCGUCCGGGUUUAUUAGGCCUCUCAGCAUCACAAGCAUGUCCCCUUUUAUAAGGCCCCGUGUUGGAAAGGUGCAUGCAUGCAACAAUUUCAUUGGUUGUAUUGAAAGCUAUUGUUGUUGGUGCCAUGGCUGAAAAGUUAAUACACUUCAUGUGUGCUUUUUCAUUGGCUGCAUACAUGUGAGAUAGUGCAUUGGGAGUGGAAUGGAAGAAUUAAUGUGAGCAAAUUAGUAUGUGUUGUCUUUAGGCCUAAUAAACCCGAACGGAGGGAGUAGUAUCAUACACUAGUAUCAUAUGUAUGAUACUAAUAUAUGUUACUCCUCACUAUGACCAGCCUCAGAGCAACACCCCGUGGUCCUGAAGCUGAAAGGAAUGGAGGGGAGGAGAUCACGGUGACGCCGACAGUCUCCAGAUUCUAUGGACGAACCACGACGACGAGUUGCCGUUGGCGCCGCCCGCCGGACCCUUACAAGCACACUGAAACACAAACACAAAGGACCAUGAACACCUAGAGUACCCCAAGACAACCAUAACACAAGAAGAUCUCUGAAACCCCGUGUCAUCAUUUCUGGAUCUUGAGAGAAGACCCCUGCAGUAGAAGGAUCUACAACCAGGCGCAAGCAGGUCAUCAUCUUCGACCACGAUACAAUUGCCGCCGCGCUGCUUCCUCCUUUCUUAACACCAAUGCUGAGAGGGCAUGAAUAUCAAUCUAACACACCCGCAACAGCCGUCGCCAUCUUUGGCUUUCAGUACCGUGAAAAGUGUUCCUUCCGGGAAGAGAACUCGAGUCAACCAACCAGUCCAGCACCGCGGCCGGGCCUUCCGCCUGGACAAAGCAGGAUCUCCCACCAGCAUCGGCGCAGAGAAAGAAGAAGAACAGCAGCAGCAAAUCAUACCGACAAGGAAGAAGAAGGGUCUUCGUCUCCCUGCAUCCAUCGCCCAUCUAAGAACCCAAACGGCCAGUGCCAAUGGACCUCCACCCACCAUAGCCCACAACCUCGACGAGAUCCGGGAUCCCCCACCCCGUUGGCUCCUAGACGAAGGCAAAAGCCUCACCUCACCGCGAACGAAGCCCAAAAAAACUUAUUCCGACGCAACACCACUGCAAACAGCCUUAACAGCGUCUCCCUCAACCCUAACGCUACCACACACCCACCAAGUGGACAGACCCGAGGUCCCCCCUCUUUCCCGCCACCGGAACGACCGAUGGAGAAAGGGAACCGGCGGCGCCACCGGCGACGCGCAAGGGAACCCUUGUCGCCUGCCUAGAUCGCCUCCUGCGAUCAUAUUUUCCCGCUGUGGUCGUUUUUUUCGUGUGUGCACGGUGUGGAACAAACAAUCAUGUGCCGUGAUUUGUUAUGCUGCAACUAGAAGCACGUACUAGUACAAGUGCUGUUUAGCUUCGCUACUGCAGCUUCCACUGCCAUAAUGAUAUAGGAGUAAUCUAAUGAUGCUCAUACCGUACUCAUGUUUGGGAUUGGCCGCGAGUAGUUGUCCUUUUCUUGCGUUUUCUCAACGACAAGCACACUCGAGGCUUAGGCCAUCUCCAGCCGCGCCUUUAAAAAGGCACCCCAGACGUUUUUUCGUCUGCCAGUGUCAAAAAAUCGUUUUAGUCGCGUCCUCAAGAGUUCAGUUUUUGUCGGCUCGGACAGAAAUUAACGCCGGCGGACCCAACCCGAACCCGACGCGUUGGGGGUCGCUCGGGGGUGCCGGGCGAAUCGUUUUUGGCGCGAAGAGCCGCGGACCCGCCGCGUCAGCGACUCUACCCUUUUCUCGCCCCUUCGUCGUCCUCAUCGCCUCGUUUCCCGCGGUGAAUCAAUGCCAAAGCUGCCGCGCGCUACCGCGCCGGUCAGCCUCCAUUGAUGCCUCACGGCGGGUGCAGUGAAGGCUGGGUGGUGUGUCCCUCGGCUGCCACGCAAUUACGCCACGCGUAACGCGUCGGCCAAGCCUACCACGCGGCGUCUCCGCCUAUAAAAGCCGACUGCAAGCGCGCCGGAGAGACUCACCCCGAUCAUCCACCGACGACGCGCUCAUUUCUCCCCCUUUCCUCCUCUCGCCGUCCCCAGUUGAGAAAGCAUGGCCGAGCGUUUCCCAGGCGACGGCGAACGGAUUCGGGCGCCGUCAUCUGCACGAGGACGAGGCUCGCCUCCUUUUCGAGGCCGAGUACCCGGUCCCGCCGGACAUGCGGGUGCCCGGGGCUUGGAGGAUCAGCGCCGGCGGCGUGCCGGUGCCACCACCACCCACCGGGGCGACGCGGCGUGCGGAGAUCGCACGCAUCCGCGCGUCCCUGCCGUGGGCGACGAGGGAGGGGCCACGGUACGUCCCCGACAGCCCGCUCUGGGAGCCCUACUUCCGCCGCCGUCACGCCGAGCAGCUCGAGGCCACCAACGGCGUCGUGCCCUCCGGCAGGCUCAACUCCGAUGGCCGGCGCCGGUGGUGGGGCGUGCCCGGUCGCACGUUGGAGGCCGUCCUCGAGUACAUCGAGGGCGGCAACACGCUGCGCCUCGAGUACCUCGCUUCCCCGUCCUUCUCACGCCGCCGGGGAAGCUCCUGGACGCCGAGGCGCAUGGAGACCGUAGCGUCCUCCUACUCGUCCGGCGGCUCUCCCUGCCUCCACCUCCGCCCUGUCAAGCCGGAGCCCCAGGACACGCUUGUCAGCGCGCGUACCCGCAGCUCCGGCGGCUCUCCCUGCCUCCACCUCCGCCCCGUCAAGCCGGAGCCCCAGGACACGCCUGUCAGCGCGCGUACCCGCAGCUCCGGCGCCCUCGUCGAGCCCAAGGUGGAGUCCAGCCUUCCCCCGGAGUACGAGGAGAUAGCCCGACGCGCCUUCUCCGACGAGGACGCCAUGCGGUGGUCGCGCGACGACUACGUGCGCGAGGAGAUGGUCCGGCAGCGCCGGGCCCUGGAGGAGAUCGCCGCCCGCAAACGUGGGCGCGAGGACGAGGACGGUGUCGUCGUCCUCGAUAGCGACGACGACGACGCCCCCGGACCGUCCAACUCGCCGUGCCAACCGGGGGAGGGGUGCAGUAGGAACGGCGGAGGCGUAGGCGGGGGCGACGACGACGACGACGACGACGGCGGUGACUACACGCGGUUCUACAGCCUCCUCGGUAAGUAGAACCGCGUGGGCGGGCGGCGAGGGAGACGGCGGGGGUAGCCCGCAGUAGUGUUUUUUUUUUCUUUUUUUGUAAAAUAUGUUUAAAUUUGAACGAACCCGCCCGUGUUUGCGUUGUGUUUGCGCCGAAUUUGAACAUUUUAAAAACCCGUGGGGGGCCGCGACUGGGGGGCAUCACGCCCCCAGUGCGCUGUUUAGCGCCGGUGCGCCUCGGGGGCGAUUUUUUGCCCCUCCUGGGGGGCCAACGGCUGGAGAUGCCCUUAGACGUAUCGUUCUUUCUUCCUCGAGAAGAAAAAGGCGAUUUAGCCGGUGCCCGUCGCCAGGGGCUUCCUUUGCCGCCGUCCCCCGGUGGCUCCCUUCCGUUGACGAUCUCGGUCGUUAGUAGUGAGGGGGUCAUCAGAUCCACGCGUGUGGAUAUAUUUAAGGCCAAAAUAGCUUAGUUUUUCGGUUGCUCAUUGUCGCGAUGACGACACUGAAUAAAGUUUCUUCAGAUUCUACUUCGAUGAGAUGAUCGGUCCUACGGUUAGGGAUGAAUUUGAAAUCCACUUUGUUCAAGCAAGAAUGGUGCAGCGGCAACGACAUCCUCGUGGUGGAACCGUGUCCUCAGGCUCCGUCGAUGCGACGACGUUUGCUCCAGCGCCGGCGUGGAGCCUGGGAGGUAGUCUAGGAGCGGAUGCAGAUUAUGAUUUGCAUCGGCGGCAUCGAGAAAAUGGUGGGUCGUGCGCUGAGUUCGUGGUAUGUGGAUGUCAGGUAUGCUUUCCUCCUCUGACGUCUUGUCCCGAUUUAAUUCGUUCAACGGUAAUGGUUUCGUCUUUGGCGAGUCUCCUUGAAGGUCCGCAAAGCUGCAUAUCAACGAUGGAGCUGCGUUGAUGUCAAGCUUAGAGGUUUCUUUGGUCUUGUUUGUACUUUUUACUUUUUGGCUAGUGUUUCUUUAUUUAAAGGUUAGCAUUCUGCUAUUUUUUAGUUUUGUCGUCGAUAUGUAUGUAACUUGUACGAUGAUCCUUAUGUCGUAUAAACAAGACACAUAUUAUGAUAAAAGAAAUGCACGCUCGAGGCUUGAAGAAAUGCCAUGAGGGAUCCGAGACAGCAACGCGGCACCGGCGAAACUUGGAACCUGAUUUGAUCGACGCAGGGAAUUUCGGCCUUGACGUACGGCUUUGCUCUGCUUUCCUUUUCUUUUCCGUUUAGUCGAGGGAGUUCGUUGCUGCGCAAGCGCCCCCAACCACUCCAUGACGCUGAAGGACACGAGGCAUAGGGGAGGGGAGACCCAAGUCAAAUCCUUCAGACUGAAGCCAGAUACGAUUCGAUAUUAACACCACAUCUAACUGGCCGCAGAAAAGAAUUUGCCAUUUUUGUCCCAUCGCGAUAGACAUGUAAUCCUUCAGACUGUAAAAGCAGUGGCUUUGCACACAUUAUGUCUGUCUAAGGGAAAGAGGUGUCGGUAUGCUAAUAUUCACCUGUUUCCCCUCUUUUCGCACUGAUGGUGAAGAGUUGUAACAGUCAAGGGUAUACGGAAAAAAAUUAUAUGAGACUAGGGCUUCCUUUGGUUUAGAGGAAUUUCAUAGGAAUUCUAAAUGAUAGGAUUCUUAUACGAUUUUUUUGAGCCCUUUGGUUCAUAGGAAUGGAUUCCUAUUCCUACAUAGGAUUGGUUCCUAUCCUUCACAUUUCAUAGGAAAAUAAAAAAGAACCCAGACUUAAUGAAAAAAUUCCUUUGAUGUCAACCAAAUGACAUCUUGUUUCCUAUUCGAGUUAAUUGCAAGAAACCACCACAUUUAGGGUUUCGUUUGCGGAAAAAUACCUGGUCCUUAAUUUUUUUGCAAAAGUCACCGCAUAUCUAGUAAACUUUUUGCAUAUUGCACUGAUCAGGUGAUUGACAAGUAGGGUCGAAUUGUAAGAAGCGAACUUAGCAAAAAAAAAAA
RNAcentral lists this long non-coding RNA (6105 nucleotides) under Triticum aestivum (bread wheat). RNAcentral describes it as "long non-coding RNA (TAES_LNC026108)". Lineage: Eukaryota; Viridiplantae; Streptophyta; Magnoliopsida; Poales; Poaceae. The record is from RNAcentral.